AAGCGCCGCUUUGCCGGUGUUAACGCCGGAGAGCCUCCCGCUGGAACUGCCCCCCCCGCAGAGCAGCCGUGCGCCCUGCCCCGGCGUUGUUCAGCGCAUCAGCUGAUACCAUGUCCCGCAAUUCGACGUUUUUGUUUCUUGACAACUUCAUGCAUCUUUUUAGCAGGUUUUGUUUUGGACAGAGGUUUUGCGCGUAUUUACAGAAUUCAGUGCGAUGCGUAAUAUUCAGACGCGUUGUGAAUAAGCAGAAUUUGUUAGCUUGUUAAAAUUAAGUGAUUCCCAGUAAGCACAGGGUAUAAUCCUAUACUUAGGCUUCUGGCUCUCAUUUAUUUCGCAGCACAACUUUUUGUCUUGGACACACACUUCAGCGCUACAAAUUAAUCUUUGAGUUUAGGAAGCCAAGUGUCUCCGAGCUUUUUGACAGAAAACAGCGAACAGUGUUGUAUUGACCACCUUCAUGCUAUUUCUGACGGAUGGUGUCACUAAACUUGAGCUCACUUGUCACAAUGGAAUUUAAUUAUCUGCUGGAGAGAAGCCCUGACAGCUGUGGCGUAGGUUUUUCAAUGUGAUGUUGCCUGGAUUGCAAGAAAAAUAUCAAGGGCUGGUGAGAACAGCCAUGUUCUAAAAGCAUCUCUGCCUGGGUUAGACCACUGCCUACCAAAGAGAAAAGCACUACUGCAGGAUGCUCUCCAGAAACCCAAGAAACAGAAAACCAUCAAACUGCUCCAGGCUGUAAGGAUUUCCUUCGGGAGGGAAGAUCAGUGGCACAGACUCUGCCCAGCCCUUGAAAGUGGUGUGGACAAAGACUGGGUUUGCAACAAAGACAAGGAACCACUCCUACCCCACAGACUGGGGCUGAGCCAGCAGGGCCCAGUGUGCUGUCAGGACUGUGUUGGGACAAAUUGGUGAUGCAGGUGAGUUGCUGAGGUGGUGUAUCAGUGUCAGAAGAGUAGGAGAUAACUGUGCACACAAG
RNAcentral lists this long non-coding RNA (973 nucleotides) under Cyanistes caeruleus (blue tit). Its description in RNAcentral is "lncRNA (ENSCCEG00000014247.1)". The record is from RNAcentral. Lineage: Eukaryota; Metazoa; Chordata; Aves; Passeriformes; Paridae.